Mytilus trossulus (common blue mussel) is the source of this 768-nucleotide long non-coding RNA. RefSeq lists it as uncharacterized. The transcript is spliced from 2 exons. Lineage: Eukaryota; Metazoa; Mollusca; Bivalvia; Mytilida; Mytilidae. The record is from RefSeq and is a predicted model, not a curated record.
UUAGCUUUUUGUGUAUGUGAUGUGUAACAUUACGAUCGGGUACCAGCCAAUCUACGUGUGUAUGUGUACAUGAUUUCCCGCCAAAAUGACCGUUUUACAGCUAUGGAAAAAAUAGUCCACAAACGUUCCGUACAAUGAUAUCAAAUUCAUAAUUAAUCGUAACUUUUUUUUAUCUUUGUAUAAUAAAUAUAACAAAAUGGAUUCCACAAAAUUGAAAAUAGCAUUAUUUUACGAGGAUUUCUCAUAUUUUUCUCACUUCCGGCGCAGUAAUACGUAUGUUUCGAAGAAGCUCGAAGAAUUUGACAAAGUGAAUUGAGAAGGAAACGGAUAGAUUUACGUCCUUGCUAUCAGGGCACAAACCCACUUUAAAGACACUUGUCUACUGCCAUACCCAUCCUAAUUUCAUGCACCAUUUGCAAGCAAGAGACUGAAUGGUUUGCAAAAUUAAAAAUCAGGACGGUGUCCAAUUAAAACAAAAGAACUAAACUGGAUGAAUAUUGUAGGAGAAAUCUAGAGGAAAGUUUUGAUUUGUGAAAUUGGUUUUCCUGAAAAGCCAUUCAUCCUAGCCUGCAGAAAGGAACUAUAACUGUCCACCACCAACUGACGAGCUAAUGUUGAGCUUCACAUAUGGAAUUAAUCAAAUACCAUCAACGUUUGUGUUUUCAGCACAGAUUUCACAAGUUAUGACACAGCUGUGUUUUUUUAUACCUGUUUAUAGAGUUGUAUACUAAAUUUUAUUUUUUUUAUCAAUAAAUAUAUAUUGUGUCA